Molecule: ribosomal RNA, 711 nt
Filed under: Pseudomonas putida
Lineage: Bacteria; Pseudomonadati; Pseudomonadota; Gammaproteobacteria; Pseudomonadales; Pseudomonadaceae
Description: bacterial SSU rRNA
Rfam family: Bacterial small subunit ribosomal RNA
Source: RNAcentral
CUACCUGCAGUCGAGCGGAUGAUGGGAGCUUGUGUCCUGGAUUCGGCGGCGGACGGGUGAGUAAUGCCUAGGAAUCUGCCUGGUAGUGGGGGACAACGUUUCGAAAGGAACGCUAAUACCGCAUACGUCCUACGGGAGAAAGCAGGGGACCUUCGGGCCUUGCGCUAUCAGAUGAACCUAGGUCGGAUUAACUAGUUGGUGAGGUAAUGGCUCACCAAGGCGACGAUCCGUAACUGGUCUGAGAGGAUGAUCAGUCACACUGGAACUGAGACACGGUCCAGACUCCUACGGGAGGCAGCAGUGGGGAAUAUUGGACAAUGGGCGAAAGCCUGAUCCAGCCAUGCCGCGUGUGUGAAGAAGGUCUUCGGAUUGUAAAGCACUUUAAGUUGGGAGGAAGGGCAGUAAGCGAAUACCUUGCUGUUUUGACGUUACCGACAGAAUAAGCACCGGCUAACUCUGUGCCAGCAGCCGCGGUAAUACAGAGGGUGCGAGCGUUAAUCGGAAUUACUGGGCGUAAAGCGCGCGUAGGUGGUUCGUUAAGUUGGAUGUGAAAGCCCCGGGCUCAACCUGGGAACUGCAUCCAAAACUGGCGAGCUAGAGUACGGUAGAGGGUGGUGGAAUUUCCUGUGUAGCGGUGAAAUGCGUAGAUAUAGAGAAGGAACACCAGUGGCGAAAGGCGACCACCUGCACUGAUACUGACACUGAUGUGCG